CACGCCGUAAACGAUGAAUGCUAGGUGUUGGGGAAACUCAGUGCCGCAGUUAACACAAUAAGCAUUCCGCCUGGGGAGUACGACCGCAAGGUUGAAACUCAAAGGAAUUGACGGGGACCCGCACAAGCAGCGGAGCAUGUGGUUUAAUUCGAAGCAACGCGAAGAACCUUACCAGGUCUUGACAUCCUCUGACAAUCCCAGAGAUGGGACGUUUCCUUCGGGAACAGAGAGACAGGUGG
Molecule: ribosomal RNA, 239 nt
Filed under: uncultured bacterium
Lineage: Bacteria
Description: partial 16S ribosomal RNA
Rfam family: Bacterial small subunit ribosomal RNA
Source: RNAcentral